Molecule: long non-coding RNA, 6368 nt
Organism: Gasterosteus aculeatus aculeatus (three-spined stickleback)
Lineage: Eukaryota; Metazoa; Chordata; Actinopteri; Perciformes; Gasterosteidae
Source: Ensembl
GUGAUCCAGUUCUAACCUACAGAACGCGUGGCCUGGUUCUUCACGAGGUGGGAGGAACGUUCUGAAGGGAGAAUCCUGAGAAUCAGGAAUUUAAGAAGAAGCUGAUCUAAAAUGAGUUUUUGUUACUAUCUGUAGAUAAAUAAGACGUCACAUCCAAACCACAGCUUUAGUUUUGUUUCUGUUCAGUUGGAAAGAAGUUUGUUUUUUUAACCUUCAGCUUCAAUUGGUUCAUUUUUCCGAUGGCUUUGAGGAGAACAUGUUCAUCUUUUUUUACGUUUAGAUAUCAUAUAACAGCAUUUAAAUAACAUUUAUAUAACAAGCAUUGCACAUUUUGAGCAAUGCUAAAUACAUAUUGACGCUUGAAAUAGUGAUAAAGUGAGUAAACAUACAACAUGCACAACAUGCUAUGGCAGCGUGAAUAUAAUGUGCACCUUAACACUUUAAUGCGGUUAUUGUGAUGUCACUCACACUAGAGCUCCAUUGGUGAGAUCUCUGUACCCAGCAUGCAACAUGUUAUGAACUCAUAACAACGGCGUCUCUUCAGAACACUGAACGUCACACCAGAGACCAAAAAGAAAAUCAACUCAAUUUAACAGCGGCCCUAAAUAAAGCAAGCGGUGACACAGAUUCAUCAGCUUCAGAUUAAAUGAAACUUUAUUGAUCCCCUCAGGGAGAAAAGCUGAGAGCUGAAUAUAAUUAGAAGUUUGGUGAGUGAAACCCGGCGUGUUCGGGACAAAGGAAGAAGAAAUGACGAACAGAAAGGGACAAAAACACAGAGACAGACGGAGAAAAAGCAGCGAGAUAAAGUCUUUAUUCCACAUUUCACCCAAACGCUGCACGGAGACGGAGGACAUGAAAUGUCACGUCAACAGAAAGCUGAAAUAACAUUUCAGAGAACGAUGGUGAAAUUGCACUAAAAGAAAAUUCCACAUUGUUUAGCAAAGUCCUACAAAACCAAUUAUUUAAAUCUAAAAACUGUAUUUUUGUUUUAUUGUCAUUUAGAAAACUAAACUACUUUUAGGUUAAAACAAUGAAAAGUUUACAGAAAGAACUUUUCGAUUCACUUUGUCGUCGGUCUCCAUUAAACGUCCCACAGUGUGAAUAUCUACACAACAACGUAGCUGGUUUGUGCUUCUCUGUCUACCGUUUAUUACUAUUAUGAUGAAAUGUCACAGCGUGAGAUGUUCCUUCGGUACCAGGAGGACGGGCUCUCCGCUCCACGCCGCACAGGAUCACAGCCCGAUGCGGUUCUCCGGGUUCCACCAGCGGAGGACAGAACACGCGGCUCCUCUCUCUCUCUUCGGUUUCUGCCUCCCCAGUGAAACCGCUGGUUGCCGUGGGUUACGAGGAGGACCCGGACUGGGGACACGUCAGAGGUCCCUUCUGACCCUGUUUCCUUUCCUCUUUUGAUCCCUGGAUUGAGGGAAGGAGUAAAUCCCACUCAGGAAUUAAGUCUAAGAGCUCGGAUACCUCGUGUGUGGGGGGUUAUGGGGGGGGGGGGGGGGGGGCCGUCUCUGGACCAAGCGGGAACGCAGCCAAUCCUUUCUAAAGUAGAUGUGGAAUUAAUUCAGCCCGGUGGGAUGGAAGACGUCAUCCAACAGAGAACAUCCCUCUUAUUGUAUCAGCAGUAAAGCCGAUGGAAACUUCACAGAGGCGUAUUGUCAGUUAUCUAUUAAACGCCUGUCACCCAGCAGCUGAUGUCACAUCAACAAAGUCAUAAUAUUUUCAUGACAACUCGACUCCUGUGAUCUUCAUCGGUGCUCCUCAUCAGAGGAAGAUGCUGUGUGAUUAGUGACUCGUGAGCUUGGUUUGAUCCGGGCCUCCUCAUGCUCUGCUGUUCAGCUCCCUCCAUCUUUUACCCGCUGACUCCGGAUGCACAUCAGCGCCUUUCGCUCUCUCUCUCUUAGAAAUAAUAUAAUCAAUGAUAAAAUAAGACUUCAAGCGCAACGCCGACAAAGUGCUUCAGCAAUUAAAUACAGUCAAACAUCAAGUGAAAAUCAAUUAAAAAAGAAAAAGAAAAGUAAUCUGUGUGAGAUACACGGAGGGUAAAAAUAAUAUAUUUGUAAAAAUAAUAGGAUGAAAGCCGUCACAUAACGGAGGCUCCUUCCACCUCAACCCCCAUCGGCCCCCCGCCGCAGAGGAGAUGGAGUGUUGCUCUUGUUUUAAUUAUGCAGAGGAGGCUGCAGAGCAGGACAGGACAUGUUUCAGUGUCGUCGCCAAUUAAGCAGCUUCACCCAGUCGUGGAGCUGGAAGCCGAGGAAGAGGAGGAGGAUGAAGGAGGGAGAGCGAGGAAAUGACAGAGGAGAGAGAAAUGGAUUGAAUGCAUGAGAGUCUUUUUCUUAUUUUCCACACAAAUGGAGACGCUUGUGGUGAAGACGUGCAGCCUGAACUCCAGCUACAGCGGAACAAAGGCAGCCCCGGGGACACAAGUACUACCGUGGUAGUACUAGCUGGGGUGGAAGUAGCAGUAGUAUUGGUGAUGCUUUUAUCCAAAGCCACUUACAUUACAUUCUUAACCCAUGGCUUCUUUCACAUUUUGCCCGGGGAGCCGGUUUCGAACCACCGACCUUACGGCCCCCGGCGGACCCUCUCUACGCCUGCGCCACGUCCACCCCACAGAUGUGGUACAAGUACCAGCGUUGCUGCUGCAGGUGUUACAGAUGUGUUUAGGGCAGGAGAAGUCGACUCUUUUCAGCAUUUAUUUUAUAAUAAAGACGCACCACAGCUGAGAACCGUGGUCAUGUGACCCACGCUAACGGUAACUGAUGUUAACAGUUGUAUUUAAGAACAAAGCGCAAUAGUGCGUCAUCGUUUUUCUCUCAACGUACCUUCAACAGAGUAACGCUUGUGUGAAGGAAAAACGGGACUACGGAAGCCGAGGAGGCGCAGGAGAGAUUAAUCGCAAUUUCCGCAAAUUUAACUCAUCAAAAUAAAAUUCACACACACACUCAACAAGAUUGUUGAAUAAUAACCAAAAAUAAAAAGACAUUGAAGAUGACAGUGUAUUUUUUUAAAAGCCACCAGAUAGAUGGAAGUAGAUGAGAGUGGAAGUACAAGUAGUACUGGUAGGAGUAGCACAGUAACAGUAGUAGUAAAGCAGUACCACAGUAACUUACAGUAACAUGAGUAGCAGUAGUAGUCGUACAAUCAAAGUAUUAAAGCUAAUUUAUUCAGUCUUCAAGUACCUUCUGGCUCCUCCCACCAAACGGGUGACUCCUCCAACCGGACUGGUAAGCCCUCCCAUCAAAUUGAUGACUCCUCCCAUAUGACUGGUCACUCCUCGCACCGAGCGGCAGAACACGGACUCUGGCUAUUGAUCUGGAUCGCAUACUGCCCCCCCCCCCGGCUCCAUUGUGGCUCUGGGGUGUCAGGCUGGGACUCGGCUGGCUGAAGGGUCAUUACCACUCCUCCAUCCAUAACCAUUCUAAUAGACUUCCAACCGGCUAUUUACAUUGGGGAGGUGUUCCUCUGAACGUAUUGACUUUCAUAAAAUAUAUGUGCGUUUGGCUACCUUAAGAUCAAUAAAGCCAUUUAAGGAGUAUUAUCAUUAAGAGGUGACCGUGUGUUACGUGUGUGUGCGUGUGUGUGUGUGGGAGGUGGUAAUCUACCGCGGUAUGAGGCCUUAAACCAACAUCAUUUACUGCAUGACUGCACCGUCAGUCUGUCGACCACACACACACACGCACACACACACACACACACCAUGGUGAAUAAUUCCGCUCCUGACCUCAGCGUGGACGGAGAGACGAGCAGAAGAUGUGAGCAGAAGAAGCAACGAAGCUCGAGCUCGGCUUCGUUGCUUCACUUCUCCUUUGUUGUACUUUCACUUUGCUCUUCAUUGUCAGCCGAGGUUAUUGGUUCCUUUCACACUUCAUGUAAUUGACAAUAAAAACAGGCUGUUCUCACAAAAGGAAGAAGAUAUUGAAUCUCCGACAUGUUUUUCAUCAUUAAUGAAAAAGCGCCACUGGUUCUCUUUUCUUGACGGGUUUGUUAUUUUAAAGCAGAUUUUUUAUUUCAACAUAUUUUAAUAAGGAACUGGUAUAAAACCCUUAUAUAACACGUUGAAUUUGAACUGUAUCGUGCAGCGAAUGCUGCUCAAAGGUUCAGACUUUGUCUCUAUUGAGACAUAAAUAUGUAAAUCUCCAUUUUUAUAUGAAGCUCCAGUCAAAACACGACCAAAAUCUCCAUAACUAUGAUCGUCCACAGAGACCAGUCCCCCGUGGACACACCCAGAUCCUCCACAUAACUCCUCAGAGGUUAAACGUGAUGGUCAGAGCAGAGUGCAUUGUGGGAUACCGAAAGCUGUUCUUCGCUCUCAUAACAGACGAGGUGGAUAAUGAAGACAUCGUCCUCCAGAUGUUCACAGAGCUUCUUUCAGUGUUUAGCUGAAAGAAACCGGACCACAUGGGUGUGUGUGUGUUUGGGGGGGGCACCGCAGACAGCGACCCCCCACAGAGAGAGCUGAUCCUCACAGCCAAAGCUUUCACAGGGUUCACAACCCAGUCCACCGUGGACAGACCCAGAUCCUCCACAGAGACCCGCCAUCGCUGCUUUGGACCUGCAGUUGGAACUCUGGGGAAGAACAACGUCUCCUCCUUGUCCUCCUUCUCCAGGAGCAGAGCUUCUCCACACUGGAGACCAAGGACGUAGUGCUGGACCCGCUGGAGGGAAGGAAGGCCCAGUAGAACCAGAACCAGGCCUGAGAGCACGGACCGUGGGACCCUGGAGCAGGUGGUCACUGAGCAGCUGACUGACGUCCCGUACUUGUUUCACUGUGUAAAGGGGGACAAAAGGACAUGUGAGUCCUUUCAUGUGGUCCCCCCCUCCUUAUCGCUCCUCCUGGUUCAGGCUGAUAAAUGCGCUGUGAUUUCACACACGUUUCCCCCUUUUGUUCACCUGUAAAUGAAAACGAGUGGCCGCGGCGCUAAAGGAAAGAUGAAUGAAUCCAGACGGUUUUUCAUAAUGCGUAUUUACAUUAAAAGCAGAUAUUGUUUCGGCGUGUUUAGCCGCGGUGUCUCAGUAGCGCUUAUCAUCGCGCCGUGAGGCUCCUGAGCCGGAGCGUAUCUGCUCGCCACAGAGAGGAGAUCAGCCUGCUUUCACAAUCAUACUUCAUGCAUUGUUAAAUAACUGUAGUUUUUAGGGAGCUGACUCAGUACUUUGUCUCUUUUCCUAGAAGUACCACUCUUCCAAUUCUUAACAAAACGAAUGAAAAAGUCUUCUUCGUGAGCCAGAGGGCUGCGAUAUAUUGAAUCAUUAAAUGAGGGAUGGGAAGUGAAGAAGCUUAGAUGUGUUUCAUGUCUUCGUGUUAAUGCUGGUUACAUAUCCACUAAUGUGCUGCUUGAGUACGACUGUGACCACGACAGAAACACGUUUUCAGAUGAACUCCUAAAACUCAACUACCUGCAGUCGAAGGCUCAGCACUCGUGAUGAAGAGGAGCGUCCUGCAGAGGAAGGUGUUCAGCUCCAGACUCCAGGAGGCCUCAAGCAGGCGGAGACCACCGGGACCCCGGGAAUAUGAAAAGACCAGCGUUUUGUGGAUUGAGCCGCGCCCAUGCAGGGACGAGCCCCUGGCCUCGGUGAGAGGACGGUACCGAUCUCCCACCAUAGAUGCAACGUGACCCCACCCCCCCCCCCCCGGGAGCACUGGGGGGAGCAGCAGGAUUAAGAAACUAAUUCAGAGUGAAGACGAGUGAACCAAGCGCCUCCUGCAGGCUGUAGAAGCUCUUCUGAAGACCUUUUCUGAUGCAAAAAGCGUGUGUGUGUGUGUGUGUGUGUGUGCGUGUGCGUGUGUGUGUGUGAGGGGGGGGGGGGGGGUCUCCUCUGCAACCGGAAUAGUUCGAGAGAGGAUUAAAGAGGGAGCGCUUGUUCCAGCUCAGCUUCCUGUGUGACUGGGGCAAACCCCCCCGCUGGCUCGGGUCCUGGCUCUGGGUUUUCCACGGUUCGACCUGUGGGAGCGUUCAAUUAGAGCCGCGAUCAAUCUCAGGCGGGGGGGGUGAAAGAAGAGGCUCGGCUCAGGACUCCAGAUCUCAGGAGGAAAUAUGAAAUCCUAUCAGUCCAUCUUCAAUUUACCCCCAGGUCUCUCCAGCGGGACAGAUAUUGGACGGGGGGGGGGGCAGAGAGGAUGGAGGAUACAGUAUGUGAUAAACAUCACACAAAAUAAAGAUAAAGGAAGAGGAGAUGAGGACGCGUAAAAAGAUGAGUUGAAUAAAAGAGAAGAGGGGCGAAGAUAAAAUACUAGUUGUGAUAAAAAGAAACUAUAUAUAUAUAUAUAUAUAUAUAUAUAUAUAUAUAUAUAUAUAUAUAUAUAUAUAUAUAUAGUAGACGAGUAGACUAAUUUAUAUAUGUAUAUAUAUAUAUAUAUAUAUGUA